UUCUCGGGCUGGGUGGGGAGGUCGUAGUUUAUGACGAGGGACACUUGCUGCACAUCGAUACCACGGGCCAGGAGGUCCGUGGUGAUCAGGACACGGGAGGAGCCUGAGCGGAACUCACGCAUGAUGAUGUCUCGGGUGUUCUGGUCCAUGUCUCCAUGGGUGGCUGAGACAGUGUGAUCACGGCCCCUCAUCUUGUCGGUCAGCCAGUCCACCUUCCGUCUGGUGUUGACAAAGAUGACACUCUGGGUGAUGGCCAG
This 257-nucleotide long non-coding RNA is filed under the name Salvia miltiorrhiza (redroot sage). Its description in RNAcentral is "long non-coding RNA (SMIL_LNC006223)". The record is from RNAcentral. Lineage: Eukaryota; Viridiplantae; Streptophyta; Magnoliopsida; Lamiales; Lamiaceae.